This 444-nucleotide ribosomal RNA is filed under the name uncultured Dekkera. RNAcentral describes it as "eukaryotic LSU rRNA". It matches the Rfam family "Eukaryotic large subunit ribosomal RNA", at positions 133 to 581 of the family's 3401-position model. Lineage: Eukaryota; Fungi; Ascomycota; Saccharomycetes; Saccharomycetales; Saccharomycetaceae. The record is from RNAcentral.
GGCAACCGAGUUGUAAUUUGGAGACGGGACACUAGAGAGGAGGAAGGCGAUUAAGUGCCUUGGAACAGGCUGCCGUAGAGGGUGAGAGCCCCGUGAAUCGCUGGAGACCGAUCAAUUAGUGCCCGCCGAAGAGUCGAGUUGUUUGGGAAUGCAGCUCUAAGUGGGUGGUAUAUUCCAUCUAAGGCUAAAUAUUAGCGAGAGACCGAUAGCAAACAAGUACAGUGAUGGAAAGAUGAAAAGAACUUUGGAAAGAGAGUGAAAUAGUACGUGAAAUUGUUGAAAGGGAAGGGUAUUUGAUCCGACAUGGUGUUUAGCAGCGGCCCGUUCCUCGUGGAUGGGUGCACCUGGUUUACACUGGGCCAGCAUCGGUUCUGGGAGCCAUAUACGGGGUUCGUGAAUGUGGCCCUUCGAUUCUGUCGGAGGGUGUUAUAGCGCGGACAUCUU